AACGAACGCUGGCGGCAUGCCUAACACAUGCAAGUCGAACGAGACCUUCGGGUCUAGUUGCGCACGGGUGCGUAACGCGUGGGAACCUGCCCUUAGGUUCGGAAUAACUCCCCGAAAGGGGUGCUAAUACCGGAUAAUGUCUUCGGACCAAAGAUUUAUCGCCUUGGGAUGGGCCCGCGUUGGAUUAGCUAGUUGGUAGGGUAAAAGCCUACCAAGGCGACGAUCCAUAGCUGGUCUGAGAGGAUGAUCAGCCACACUGGGACUGAGACACGGCCCAGACCCCUACGGGAGGCAGCAGUGGGGAAUAUUGGACAAUGGGCGAAAGACUGAUCCAGCAAUGCCGCGUGAGUGAGGAAGGCCUUAGGGUUGUAAAGCUCUUUUACCCGGGAUGAUAAUGACAGUACCGGGAGAAUAAGCUCCGGCUAACUCCGUG
RNAcentral lists this ribosomal RNA (433 nucleotides) under uncultured bacterium. RNAcentral's name for it is "partial 16S ribosomal RNA". It matches the Rfam family "Bacterial small subunit ribosomal RNA", at positions 29 to 507 of the family's 1533-position model. The record is from RNAcentral.